This 434-nucleotide ribosomal RNA is filed under the name uncultured Weissella sp. RNAcentral's name for it is "bacterial SSU rRNA". It matches the Rfam family "Bacterial small subunit ribosomal RNA", at positions 958 to 1393 of the family's 1533-position model. The record is from RNAcentral. Lineage: Bacteria; Bacillati; Bacillota; Bacilli; Lactobacillales; Lactobacillaceae.
AACGCGAAGAACCUUACCAGGUCUUGACAUCCCUUGCUAAUCCUAGAAAUAGGACGUUCCCUUCGGGGACAAGGUGACAGGUGGUGCAUGGUUGUCGUCAGCUCGUGUCGUGAGAUGUUGGGUUAAGUCCCGCAACGAGCGCAACCCUUAUUAUUAGUUGCCAGCAUUUAGUUGGGCACUCUAGUGAGACUGCCGGUGACAAACCGGAGGAAGGUGGGGAUGACGUCAAAUCAUCAUGCCCCUUAUGACCUGGGCUACACACGUGCUACAAUGGCAUAUACAACGAGUCGCCAACCCGCGAGGGUGCGCUAAUCUCUUAAAGUAUGUCUCAGUUCGGAUUGUAGGCUGCAACUCGCCUACAUGAAGUCGGAAUCGCUAGUAAUCGCGGAUCAGCACGCCGCGGUGAAUACGUUCCCGGGUCUUGUACACACCGA